RNAcentral lists this unclassified non-coding RNA (1846 nucleotides) under Hevea brasiliensis (rubber tree). Lineage: Eukaryota; Viridiplantae; Streptophyta; Magnoliopsida; Malpighiales; Euphorbiaceae. The record is from RNAcentral.
CUCUCUCUCUCUCUCUCUCAAUGUUAACUACUAUUUCAAGGAUGAAGUCUCUUGUAUCUCCACCAUUUUCACCCAUUUUCAAGGCCACACCUUCUUCCCUCUUCUUCUCUUUACCCUCUAAUUUCAAAUUUCUCUCCUUUCCCACUUCUCUCACAAGUUCAAUUUCUCUCUCCCUUAAUCCUCCUCCUAUGCUGUCAACUUUUCCAAUUCAAAAUCGAUGUCUUCACUCCAAUUCCUCUCCCUCUUUUUCUUCCUCCUCCGGAGAGAUUCACGUUAUAGUUGGCCCCAUGUUCGCUGGAAAAACCACCACGCUUCUCCGUCGCAUCCAGUCUGAAAGCGGCAAUGGCAGGUUUAUUUUAUCUACCUGUCCUUUGUGUUGAUAUGGGAUUUUGUUUUUAUUAAAAGUUCUAUUGUUUUUCGUUUAUGUAAUGUGAUUUUUUAUUCUCUUGUUUGUUUUUCUUAUGCGAUCAGGUUUGGCUUUUACUUCUUUUGCAUUGUUGAUGUAGUUGCGUUAGUAUAUAAAUCUCAGUUAUUAUUUGGAUAUCCUUUUUAUUGUCGUUGUUGCUUUUAGCUUAGUGGAUGAGGUUUGGUCAAUGUUUCUGGUUGAUGGAAUGGGAUUAUCAGUGGUUAGAAAUUGCCAGCCUUCAGGUCAGAAGUAUGCUUCGAUAAACGUUAAAAGGUCUUUGUUUCUUGGGGAGAAUGAGUGAAGCUGUGAGGCUAUUAUGGUGUAUAGGGUUCAAAGUGGACCAUGGUACGUAUGCCCUUCUGUUGCAAGAAUGCAAAUUCAUUAAACAGUAUAAGAAGGGGAUAAGAAUCCAUUCACAUAUGGUUAUUGUUGGGUAUAUUGCCAAUGAAUACCUGAAGACUAAGUUGUUGAUAUUGCAAUAGGGACAUGAAGAAAUUUGCAUCACUGUUUAGAGCUUGUGCUGCUUUAGCAACACUGGAGCAGGUAUGAAAUCCCAUGGUGUCACACCUAAGAGAAAAUGUUGUAGUCAAUAGUGCCCUCAUAGAUAUGUACUUCAAAUGCAGCAAUCUUUCUGAUCGACAUAAGGUCUUCAGUAAAUCAUUAAACAGGAAUGUUGUUACCUGGACUUCAUUGAUAUCUGGGUAUGGCCAACGUGGAAGAGUUUCAGAGGUUUUAGAAUCAUUUCGUAGGAUGAAAAGUGAAGGUCUCAGACCAUAUUACGUUACUUUUUCUUGGUGCUUUCUGCUUGUAGUCAUGCAGGUUCAAUUGAUGAAGCUUGGGAGUCAAUGAAGAGAGAUUAUGGCAUCCAACCUAGAGGGCAACACUAUGCAGCAAUGGUCGAUCUUUUAGGUCACGCUGGCAGGUUACAGGAGGCUUAUGAUUUUGUUUUGGAGGCACCUUGUAAAGAACACUCAGGUGUAUGGGACGCUUUGCUUGGGGCUUCUAGAAUUCAUGAAGACAUGGACCUGGUAAAUCAUGCAGCUAAGAAAUACUUGAAAUUGGAUCCAGAAAAUGCUGGAAAGUAUUUGGUCUUGUCCAAUACCUACGCCACAUUUGCGUUCUGGGACAAUGUUGCACAGGUUAGGAGUAUGAUGAGAGAUUCAGGAAUAAUGAAGGAACCUACUUAUAGCAGGAUUGAAGUUCAAGGGGAGGUCCACUGCUUUCUAAUGGGUGAUAAAUCUCAUAGAAAAUAUGAGGAGAUAUGUAGGACAAUUAUCAACAUGAUGUGCAUUUUAAGAGAUGCUGGCUAUGUUCCUGAUAUAAGUGACCAUUAAGACAUGUAGAAGAUUGAUAUGCUUUACAUUUUCAGUCCAAAAUCUCAGCACUGCUAUUGGCUGAGCUUCCCAUUCGAUUUUAGGGCUUAGGUUGAAUAUAUAUAUA